GCUGGGUGUGGUGGUGCAUGCCUGUAAUGCCAGUGGCUUGGUAGGCUGAGGUAGGAGGAUUGCAAGUUCAAAGCCAGCCUCGACAACUUAGCAAGGUCCUGAGCAACUUAGGGAGACCCUGUCUCAA
RNAcentral lists this small RNA (127 nucleotides) under Marmota monax (woodchuck). The record is from RNAcentral. Lineage: Eukaryota; Metazoa; Chordata; Mammalia; Rodentia; Sciuridae.